ACUCGAGAGAACCAUAGAAGAAAGAAUAUCUUCUUCCUUUGUUCUUUCCGCCAUUAACACACUCAGAGUAAAAAAAUAAAACAGAUCGUAAGUAGAGAUGUUUCACCAAAAACAAAUCUCUGUUUGAUUCAAAUCUGAUAAAUUUAGCUAGGUAUGUAUUCUGUUAAUUACUUGGCUUUGACCUAAAUCCGAACGAUGAAGAUGAAUAAGAUGGUUCAAAGUUAAUUCUGCUGAUGAUAAAUUUCGUUGAUUUAUCUUCGAGGGUGGAGCAACUGCAUCUCUUGUUGAUAUAAUUGGGUCUGCUGCAAUUCAGGUGCUAAAACAAGUGGUGUUUCUGUUGAAAUCAACAUUUUUUACCUCGUUCUGGGUAUCUUGAUAGAACUUCUCGAGCACAGAACUUUAGAGAGUCACUUGUGGAAUGUCGGCUGCUGUGAAUAAAGCUUGGAUGAAUGAACCAGACAUAUUUAGCAAAACAUAUAAAGAUGGGGUUAAAUUUUUCAUGAAUUAUGCAGCUACAUAUGGUAAUUCGGACACAACAUGCCCAUGCUCUAAGUGUCAGAAUGGGAAACGUUUGGAAAUGUGGGAAGUGAGGAAACAUCUUUAUGAGAAGGGUAUUGACAGGGGUUAUGUUAUUUGGUUCUUUCAUGGUGAAAAAGAGGGUGAUAGCGCAGCAAGGCAUCCAAGUGGUAAUUUCAUACCAGCUGAAAUCAAUGAUGAGCAAGCUAGAGAAGGCGUAGUAGAAGAUUUGGGUUCCUUUGUCGAUGCUGCUUAUGGAGUUUUUGACCGGGGAGACGAAUUGUCCGUCUGCAGACUUGGUUGAGGCGUUUAUCAAGAUAAUAGAGGAGAUGGCUGACAUGGUUGAUAAGGUAGAUCAUUUGGAAAUAUGGAUGCCCUCCACCGCCAGCGAGCAAUCUGUGAACUACUUGGCUCAACUUGGGUUUACAUACUGAAGGCUUGAUGGCGAGGCACAUGCUGGACAGAUUACGCGUCAUUAAAGGGCUGCAUUACUUUGAGGAGCUUUAUGGCAGCUCAGGGUGUUAGCUUUGAAUUGUUUUGGGUUAAAUUUCAUAACGAAUGGAACGAUUCUGUUGUACCUGUGUUCGUAAUGAAUGUAUGAAUCUUCUUUGAGAAUGCAUGAACUGCAGAUUGAAAAAUAAGAAA
Molecule: long non-coding RNA, 1161 nt
Organism: Papaver somniferum (opium poppy)
Lineage: Eukaryota; Viridiplantae; Streptophyta; Magnoliopsida; Ranunculales; Papaveraceae
Exons: 5
Source: RefSeq, a predicted model, not a curated record